ACGCUGGCGGCACGCCUAACACAUGCAAGUCGAACGAAGUAGCAAUACUUAGUGGCAGACGGGUGAGUAACAUGUAGGUAUCUACCCUUUGGCCUGGAAUAACACGAGGAAACUUGUGCUAAUACCGGAUAAGUCUUUACGGAGAAAGCUUUAUGCACCAUUGGAUGAGCCUGCACUUGAUUAGUUUGUUGGUGGGGUAAUGGCCUACCAAGACUGUGAUCAAUAGCUGAUUUGAGAGGAUGAUCAGCCACAUUGGGACUGAGACACGGCCCAAACUCCUACGGGAGGCAGCAGUGGGGAAUCUUGCACAAUGGAGGAAACUCUGAUGCAGCGAUGCCGCGUGAGUGAAGAAGGCCUUUGGGUUGUAAAGCUCUUUCGUCGGGGAAGAAAAUGACUGUACCCGAAUAAGAAGGUCCGGCUAACUUCGUGCCAGCAGCCGCGGUAAUACGAAGGGACCUAGCGUAGUUCGGAAUUACUGGGCUUAAAGAGUUCGUAGGUGGUUGAAAAAGUUAGUGGUGAAAUCCCAGAGCUUAACUCUGGAACUGCCAUUAAAACUUUUCAGCUAGAGUAUGAUAGAGGAAAGCAGAAUUUCUAGUGUAGAGGUGAAAUUCGUAGAUAUUAGAAAGAAUACCAAUUGCGAAGGCAGCUUUCUGGAUCAUUACUGACACUGAGGAACGAAAGCAUGGGUAGCGAAGAGGAUUAGAUACCCUCGUAGUCCAUGCCGUAAACGAUGUGUGUUAGACGUUGGAAAUUUUAUUUUCAGUGUCGCAGCGAAAGCGAUAAACACACCGCCUGGGGAGUACGACCGC
RNAcentral lists this ribosomal RNA (809 nucleotides) under uncultured Pelagibacteraceae bacterium. RNAcentral's name for it is "bacterial SSU rRNA". It matches the Rfam family "Bacterial small subunit ribosomal RNA", at positions 33 to 889 of the family's 1533-position model. The record is from RNAcentral. Lineage: Bacteria; Pseudomonadati; Pseudomonadota; Alphaproteobacteria; Candidatus Pelagibacterales; Candidatus Pelagibacteraceae.